This is a long non-coding RNA of Astatotilapia calliptera (eastern happy), 1003 nucleotides long. The record is from Ensembl. NCBI's taxonomy places the organism in Eukaryota, Metazoa, Chordata, Actinopteri, Cichliformes, Cichlidae.
GCUGAAUUACGCUUGCCUAAGUUUACCAGUGAACAUCAAAAGGGAUGCAUGCGUGUCUGAAUGUAAGUGUGCUUGAAUGAGCAAAGAGAGCCUACUGUAUUUUGUACAAUGUAAAUGCUUUCAUACAUAUGACUAUGACGUCUGCAAAGCGUGUGUAUGAGUGUGCGUGUGUGUGCGUGUGUGUGCACUUCUCCACAUUGUGUUGCAGGCAUUCUACUGUUUCCUUUUCCUGUUUCAUGUCUGAGAUGUUAAUCAUUGUAAGUUAAAGCAUCACACCUCUGGUCCGUGCGGAGGUGGAAUGGACGUUAUUUAUAGUCAAAGCUUGGUUUAUAAAGGGCAUUCUCACAGCUAUAUUUUAUUAUUAUUGCCUGAUCGAUGAAUGCUAACCCAGCAAUGCUUUUCAGUUCAGCUAAUGUACAUGCACGAGAUGAGAGCUCUAUCUGUAUAUAGGAGCGACAGCCUUCUACCCAUUUAAUGUCCUUGAAGACAGUUGUGUAUAUGUAUCUGUAUAUUGUAUAGCUAACACUGUUUGUUUAAAAAAAAGCCUUAUACAGCUAAGUACACACCAACCAUGAGGUUUGUUUGGGGACAGAGCUCCACAACGUGACCGACCGCUUGUGACUUGUGACCUUUCCCAGCUGCUCAAACACAAAAUCUCCAGAGUCACAUGAACCCGGAAUGAAAAUAACCCACCAAUGAGAGUACCGCGUAUCAUACGCUGGAAAUGAUCAUUUAUAACGGCGAUAUGAAAUUUAAAAAGAUGUCAUUUUGAUGUAAACUCAGCUUGUGGUCAGACGGGUGUUCAACUGACUGGUCGAUCUCGAGCUCUGUCCCCUGCGAUGUGAGGCUCUGUGUCCUUCUAUGCAACUUACCAGGUGUACUGUUAGACCUGUCAUGUAGACAAAUGUAUAGUAAUCACUGCCUUUUAGACACUGUGAAUUUUUGGUACCCUAUAUUUUUGUAUAUUGUACAUUAUCAAAGGACAAUAAACCUUGAUGCCAAC